CCAAACCCAAAUAUUACCGAAUGGGCCCAUUUUUGUCCCAAACGUAUAAGACAUUUUGGCAAUGCCAACCUUGCAAUUCUUUUUCUUUUUUUUAUUUGGGAAUGGGAAACAAGAAGAUAAAGAUUUGACGUUCCUCCAACUAUUUGAAGCCAACAAGGGAAAGAAUUGAAAUGGAUCAGAAUUAGAUCGGAAAAGAUUCCGACUAGAACUGACUAGAGGAUAUUAAUUUUUGAGCCCGACCAAGACUGAC
RNAcentral lists this long non-coding RNA (250 nucleotides) under Jatropha curcas. Its description in RNAcentral is "long non-coding RNA (JCUR_LNC002401)". The record is from RNAcentral. Lineage: Eukaryota; Viridiplantae; Streptophyta; Magnoliopsida; Malpighiales; Euphorbiaceae.